This 1567-nucleotide long non-coding RNA is filed under the name Lathyrus oleraceus (garden pea). Its description in RNAcentral is "Pisum sativum (pea) long non-coding RNA (PSAT_LNC017863)". The record is from RNAcentral. Lineage: Eukaryota; Viridiplantae; Streptophyta; Magnoliopsida; Fabales; Fabaceae.
AUAUGCAACUGACAUAACAAAUAGGGUACAACUAUUCCAAAUUUAUAUUUUUACCUUAUGGUAUCAGCAAAGUUAUUCCAUUAAUCUUGCCUUAUCAAAAGACAUCAACGGUGUUAUCACACUAACCUUGUCUUAUUAAAAUGCAUCAACAGGGUUAUCACAUUAAUCUUACCUUAUCAAAAUGAAUCAACUAAUAAAUACACCAAUAUACUUGAUCAAAAAUAAAUUUGAAAUUAAUAAUAACAAUAAUAUAUCACGUCAUAAUGAUAAUGAGAAUAUUAUCAUUUAUUCGUCUCAAAGGUUUUGACCAGCAACUAACAACAGAUACCAAAUCCAAAACAUCUCCAAACUAUCAACCACUCAAACACAAACACAAAGGUCAAAUAUGUCCCAAGACACAAAGGUCAAAUAAUAUCCAUCUUGAUUCCGGUGCAUUAACCAUUGUUGGAAAAGAGGGGCAAUAGAAAUAAAGAACACUGAAUUAUGGAACAGAACCCGCAACCGACCACCAAUGACCAAGUUAGCUAUAUCAAGACCUGCUGAUACGACCCUCUGAUUCCAAGCGCUGAAACAACCACUGUCACUCGAACCACCACCUAACAAUCAACAACAAAUAGGCCUUGGAAAGCUAUAAAGCCCAACCAUCCAUAAAGCAAAACAUUGAAGCCAUAUAUACUCAAAACUCAGAUAUGGGAUUAGCUUCAAAAAUAUCUCUAGCACCGGAUUGCAUUUUCCAUUGCCACGGGUAGCACACCACAUGACUAAAUGACAAGCCCACCAAACCAUGGCAUCUGACAGCUAGAAAAACCAUCUGAUAGGAUAAAAAUCACAGAAAGUAAAUUGGCAUCUAAAGAAGCAAGAUAGACAAAUCAAGAGAAAUAUUGACCCUUUUGUUGCUCCUAUUGCAAAACACCUUUGAAUCCUUCAUUUUCUAGUUCAAUAGAUCUUGGACAAGCUUUAGGAUUCAUGAACCACUGAGAUAUAUUGACAAUGACAGCCGACUCCCAAAACAAAAACAACACCAACCACCAAUCAAAUAGAAUAAAUCAUAACAACCAACUCAAGAUUGCUUGAUACUUUCACCGGUAGCAGAUAGCAGAAACAACAUCGAAGAAUGAAAAAUAUCAUCAAGCCAAAUCAAUCCAGAGAAAAAUAGUUGAUCAAAGACAAUAAAAUGGGACAACUUAUUGCCUUAUCCAGUCCAACACACAAUAGAGCUACAAACCAAAAACUAUAAUGCUAUAAUUCGAAACCAACUACAACUUAUAUUUCCUUCCGGCUACCUGAACCAGGACCCAACACUCUUAUAGAACCUCCACGAUCCAGCAGUCUGAACCAAAACCAACACAAAACUCAUAAUCACUCGGCCAUUGGAUAUUGCCACCACAUAGCUAUGUUAUGUUUGAUGUUGCUAUACUUACUUUUCAGCCAAUCCCUAGUAGUAAUUUUUACAUUCUUCAACAUCUUAUCGAGGCACACUUCCUUACUCCAAAAUACCUUGUUGUUUCUAGCUUUCGAGAUUGUGAGACCCGUAGAAAUGUUGAAUGUAAUUCAACAUUCAAGUUUG